GAUGAACGCUGGCGGCGUGCCUAAUACAUGCAAGUCGAGCGAACGGACGAGAAGCUUGCUUUUCUGAUGUUAGCGGCGGACGGGUGAGUAACACGUGGAUAACCUACCUAUAAGACUGGGAUAACUUCGGGAAACCGGAGCUAAUACCGGAUAAUAUUUUGAACCGCAUGGUUCAAAAGUGAAAGACGGUCUUGCUGUCACUUAUAGAUGGAUCCGCGCUGCAUUAGCUAGUUGGUAAGGUAACGGCUUACCAAGGCAACGAUGCAUAGCCGACCUGAGAGGGUGAUCGGCCACACUGGAACUGAGACACGGUCCAGACUCCUACGGGAGGCAGCAGUAGGGAAUCUUCCGCAAUGGGCGAAAGCCUGACGGAGCAACGCCGCGUGAGUGAUGAAGGUCUUCGGAUCGUAAAACUCUGUUAUUAGGGAAGAAUAUAUGUGUAAGUAACUGUGCACAUCUUGACGGUACCUAAUCAGAAAGCCACGGCUAACUACGUG
Molecule: ribosomal RNA, 497 nt
Filed under: uncultured bacterium
Lineage: Bacteria
Description: partial 16S ribosomal RNA
Rfam family: Bacterial small subunit ribosomal RNA
Source: RNAcentral